GUGUUUGCUUCGGAGCACACAUACUAAAAUUGGAAUGGUACAGAGAAGAUUAGCAUGGUCCCUGAGCAAGGCUAAUAUGCAAAUUCAUGAAAUGUUCCAUAUUUUU
Molecule: small nuclear RNA, 106 nt
Organism: Choloepus hoffmanni (Hoffmann's two-fingered sloth)
Lineage: Eukaryota; Metazoa; Chordata; Mammalia; Pilosa; Megalonychidae
Source: Ensembl